CGCGGGAUAGAGCAGCAGCAGCUCGCCGGGCUCAUAACUCGGAGGUCGUGUGGUGCAAGUCCCACUCCCGCUA
RNAcentral lists this transfer RNA (73 nucleotides) under Kouleothrix aurantiaca. It matches the Rfam family "tRNA". From Rfam's summary of the family: Transfer RNA (tRNA) molecules are approximately 80 nucleotides in length. Their secondary structure includes four short double-helical elements and three loops (D, anti-codon, and T loops). Further hydrogen bonds mediate the characteristic L-shaped molecular structure. tRNAs have two regions of fundamental functional importance: the anti-codon, which is responsible for specific mRNA codon recognition, and the 3' end, to which the tRNAs corresponding amino acid is attached (by aminoacyl-tRNA synthetases). tRNAs cope with the degeneracy of the genetic code in two manners: having more than one tRNA (with a specific anti-codon) for a particular amino acid; and 'wobble' base-pairing, i.e. permitting non-standard base-pairing at the 3rd anti-codon position. Lineage: Bacteria; Bacillati; Chloroflexota; Chloroflexia; Chloroflexales; Roseiflexaceae. The record is from Rfam by way of RNAcentral.